Molecule: non-coding RNA, 114 nt
Organism: Acanthosepion pharaonis
Lineage: Eukaryota; Metazoa; Mollusca; Cephalopoda; Sepiida; Sepiidae
Source: the annotation of a GenBank genome assembly
UUACGGCCAUAUGACGUUGAAACACCGGUUUCCUUACGAUCACCGAAGUUAAGCAACGUCGAGUCUGAUCCGUACCUAGAUGGGUAACUGCUUAGGAAUACCAGGUGCAGCAAG